Molecule: ribosomal RNA, 449 nt
Filed under: uncultured bacterium
Lineage: Bacteria
Description: bacterial SSU rRNA
Rfam family: Bacterial small subunit ribosomal RNA
Source: RNAcentral
UGGGGAAUAUUGCGCAAUGGGGGAAACCCUGACGCAGCGACGCCGCGUGUGGGAUGAAGGUCUUCGGAUUGUAAACCACUGUCGCGAGGGACGAAGCUCUGACGGUACCUCGAAAGGAAGCACCGGCUAACUCUGUGCCAGCAGCCGCGGUAAUACAGAGGGUGCGAGCGUUGUCCGGAAUCACUGGGCGUAAAGGGCGCGUAGGCGGCCCGGUAAGUAGGGGGUGAAAUCUCAUGGCUCAACUGUGAGGCUGCCUUCUAGACUGCCAGGCUUGAGCACAGUAGAGGCGAGUGGAAUUCCCGGUGUAGCGGUGGAAUGCGUAGAGAUCGGGAAGAACAUCGGUGGCGAAGGCGGCUCGCUGGGCUGUUGCUGACGCUGAGGCUCGAAAGCGUGGGGAGCAAACAGGAUUAGAUACCCAAGUAGUCCCUGAGCGGGCUGGCAAGGCGCAU